UGUAAGGCGCCGAAUGAGUCAUUAUAAAAUUAACAUCAUCCGAUCCCUAGUCGGCAUAGUUUAUGGUUAAGACUACGACGGUAUCUGAUCGUCUUCGAUCCCCUAACUUUCGUUCUUGAUUAAUGAAAACAUCCUUGGCAAAUGCUUUCGCAGUAGUUAGUCUUCAAUAAAUCCAAGAAUUUCACCUCUGACAUUGAAUACUAAUGCCCCCAACUAUCCCUAUUAAUCAUUUACGUCAAUCCUAAGAAACCAACAAAAUAGGAUCGAACGUCCUAUUCAUUAUUCCAUGCUAAUGUAUUCAAGCGUUAGCCUG
RNAcentral lists this ribosomal RNA (313 nucleotides) under uncultured Glomus. Its description in RNAcentral is "partial 18S ribosomal RNA". The record is from RNAcentral. Lineage: Eukaryota; Fungi; Glomeromycota; Glomeromycetes; Glomerales; Glomeraceae.